UUGAUAACUGAACUGAUACCGAUACUGAUUCAAUACAUUACAUGCAAAGCACUCUAUUAGGUGGUUCUGCAGUCUGUGUGUUAUCAUUUUACGCAUUUUGUUUUGCCUUUCUUGCUGGGGUCACUAAGUCACACAAUCUCUUUCAUUGUUUUUGCUUCAAACUUUUGUGGUCUUUCAAGACCUGCAAGUUUUUUUCCUGGGGCUCAACCUAUAGACCAGAGUUCAAGUCCUUGAAAGUCACAGUUUAAAUCAGGGCAGUCACAGACACAGACAUCUCAUCAGGCUGGCACAUAGACAAGCUGAAUCAAUGUUGUCUACACUGAACUGAUGCAGGUCAACGAAAGCCUUCUUGAACUGCAUGGGCUACCACGUGCCCUCGCCCUUGUUCACUUGAGAUAAUGGCCUUAGGGACAAUUAUCAACCUAAUUUCUUUCUACAUCAAUGUAGAUUUGAUGUCCAGUAAUACAUGUGCUGUACCUUUAAUGGCCUUUUAAUGAUGAAGAGUAUCAAAAGCAUUUUAGAUGUGAAACUGCACCAUUAGUUUCCAUUCCAGAAAUCCACUGUCAUUACCGCAGCUGCCUCUCUAAGCCCGACGAGAGCAUCGAGUUGCUGUGCACAUGGCUGUGCAGUUAAUCACCAUCAGUGAGGAGCCGUGUCUGAUGCAGCUCCGGAAGGUGGUUACUGAAGGUGGAGGACAGGGUGUGGUCCAGGAGGGAGCGGAACAGAACAGAGUGAAGGGCCGAGUCGAUUCAGGGCCUGGAGUGUAAAGAUCCCUCAGAACAGGGGUUCUCCCAGCCCUGCUCUUCUCUUCUCUCCUCAUGUCAUAUUGAAAAAAACUACGGGUUCUUGGUAAUUCUCCAUUCUCCCCCAUCCCAUUUAUGAAGAUCCGGCAGGGGCAGGGGAGUGUGUGGGGCAGAGGAUGCAGGGUGCCCAGCUGAGUGAAUGUGAAUAGGCAGAAUUUGGGGGAGAGGGCAUGGAGAGAAGGAUCUAAGGGAGAGUGAUUCUUCCCAGGGAAGGGCGGUGUUCCGAAGGAAUUCAUAGUGAGCUGUUUAUUCUUUUGAAUCCCUAUCCUCAAGAUCCAUUGUCUGCUGUUCCCUGUGCCCCGGGAGGCUGACCACUGGGGACCUCAUCACCCAGGCUUUCUUGCCCCGUGGGUUCCAAUGGUCUUUGGCCAUAGGAGGGCACUGGCAGGAGACGUGAGGGUCUAAGGAGCCAGGGGUCAGGGCAUGUCUUCCUCCAUCCCCUUCCUGCAUAGGCAUUGCAGUUCUGGCCCUGGUUGCAUCCCUCCACAACUAUAGCUUCCGUUAGGAAGCUCUUCUUCCAUGGCACCAGCUCCAAUAACAUGUUUUCACUCCUUGCCCUUGGACUAGGGGUGGUAUAAGCUACCUGUUUUUGCUAGCUAGUGGAUACUUCAAAAUCCCAUACAGAUUCCCUUAACCCCAUUCACACCUCUGUAAAUAGUAUGCUCAUUAAAUUCAAAACCCCAGCUGAGUGUGCCAUCUGUUUCCUGCAAGAACCCUGAUUGAUACAAUGGGUGUGUCAGAAAUCAACUCAUGUUUACCCAUCCUGUUUCCUUUUCCUGGACACACAGGAAGACUACAUUUCCCAUUCUCCCUUGCAUUUAGAUUGAGGUUCUGAGACUGGGUUCUGGCCAGUGGGAUGAAGUAUGACUUCCAAGCCUGGCCAUAAAACAUCUUUUGCCAUUGUCCCCACUCUCUUCAUUUUCCAAGGUAACAUUGGAAGUUAUAUAUUUAAGGUUACAAUGUCUCAAGCUAGAAGAAGUUUGGAUCCCUGAGUCACUGCUUGGAGGAGAAUUGCCCAACUGUAUUCAACUACGAUAUGAGUGAGAAAUAGCCUUUAUUGUGUUAUGCCACUGUGAUCCUGAGAGUGGUUUGUUACCACAAUGAGGGUUAAUUACUUUGACUACUUCAGUUGAGGUUUUAAAUGAAGAGGCCACCUAGACCAAAGGAGUGUUCAAGGUAUAAAGAUAAGGAAGCGUAUGAUUUUCUAACUUGAGUGAUACUGCACUGAGAGGUAACAGAGUAUUAGCAUUAUUGCUUUGUGAAAAGAACAGGGAUUUGGCCAUCAGAGAUGAGUUUAAAUCUAGGCUUCACCACUUCUAGUGACGUGAUCUUGGGCUAGUAACUUCACUUUUUUAAGUUUUCCUGUAUGUAGUUUUAAGUUUUCCUUUGCCUUUUUAAGUUUUCCUAUCUGUAGAAUAUCUAUCUCAUAAGGCUCUUUUGUGGAUAGAUGACUUAUGUCUAUAAUAGUUGGUACUCAAUAAAAGUUCCCUCUUUUUCCUCUUUCAGCUGUGAAUUAUAAACUCUGUGCCACUAGUAAUUGGUAAAUAAUUUCAGCUUGUGAGGCAUCUGUUUCUUAAUCUCUAAUGGCAGAGAACAAUUCACAUUACCCUGAGCAUCCCGGUAUGGAAGUAGCUUGAAUAUUGACCAGGAAAAAGGGAUUUCCUUUAGGUCUUGGACUUAGGCAUUAACUCUUUCACUUCUCUGCCCUCCAGGCCCCAUCUUGAAAUUUGCAGGCCACCUAAUGCACGUGUCAAGUCAAGCAAAAUUGAGUCCCAGUGCCAUUUCUUACUUCAUGAAUGAGUUUAGAUCCUGGGACUAACAUGUCUUUUGGGAAAGUAAAGAGAAAGGACUCUCCAUGGAAACUUUUUCAUGAUCAAGAGGGCUUAUUUGUCCAUCCAUCCAUCCAUCCAUCCACAAAUCCAGAAAAUAACCAUUUAGUGCCUAGCAUAUGUGAAAACAUUUCUAGGCCCUGUAGUAGAUACAAAGAUGGAUUAGACACAUCUGCCCUGAACAGCUUACAUUCUUGCCGAAGAGAAGAUAAUUUAACUUCACAAAUAACUGCAAGACAGACCAGGUUGUGGUAAGCAUGGAAGACCACAUACAAAGUGCUAUGGAAUUCAGAGGAAGGGAAACCCCUUCUGGCUGAAGACACCAGGGAGCAUUUGAGUACAUCUUAAAGGGGAUGAAAACUAAGCAACACAACUCUUGCCUCCUUGGUGCUUAGCAUAUGACUGGAGGGAUGAAUCAGUCAAGGGAAGUUGGUCCCUUCUAAACUCUUUCCCUUGAUGGCUCACACAGCACAUGAAGACAGGAGCUUCCUGGAGGAACAUUAUACUCUG
This is a long non-coding RNA of Leptonychotes weddellii (Weddell seal), 3142 nucleotides long. RefSeq lists it as uncharacterized. NCBI's taxonomy places the organism in Eukaryota, Metazoa, Chordata, Mammalia, Carnivora, Phocidae. The record is from RefSeq and is a predicted model, not a curated record.